This 406-nucleotide ribosomal RNA is filed under the name uncultured bacterium. RNAcentral describes it as "partial 16S ribosomal RNA". It matches the Rfam family "Bacterial small subunit ribosomal RNA", at positions 29 to 526 of the family's 1533-position model. The record is from RNAcentral.
AGUGAACGCUGGCGGCGUGCCUAAUACAUGCAAGUCGAGCGAGAGGCGGACGGGUGAGUAAUGUCUGGGAAACUGCCUGAUAGAGGGGGAUAACUACUGGAAACGGUAGCUAAUACCGCAUACCAUCAGAUGUGCCCAGAUGGGAUUAGCUAGUAGGUGGGGUAAUGGCUCACCUAGGCGACGAUCCCAAGCUGGUCUGAGAGGAUGACAAGCCAAACUGGAACGGAGACACGGUCCAGACUCCUAUGGCAGGCAGCAGUGGGUAAUAUUGGACAAUGGGCGCAAGUCUGAUGCAGCGAUGCGGCGCGUGGGAAUAAGGCCUGCGGGUUGUAAAGCACUCUCAGCGAGGAGGCGGUACUCGCAGAAGAAGCACCGGCUAACUCCGUGCUAGCAGCUGCGGUAAUAC